Molecule: long non-coding RNA, 1200 nt
Organism: Haliotis rufescens (red abalone)
Lineage: Eukaryota; Metazoa; Mollusca; Gastropoda; Lepetellida; Haliotidae
Exons: 4
Source: RefSeq, a predicted model, not a curated record
AUACGUUUUACGCCCAAUCAUUUCUUUUUCAGAAUCAGGAUCGGCUGAUUGUCGCUUCAAUUCACAAAUUCGCUUCAAUUAUGAAAAGAUGGGUACCAUGGACAGUCCAGUAGCUCCAGACACCACCUCGCCAGUCGCUGUGCUAAGUACUAUCUUGUCACGGGCCACUGCAGGAGUCCUGCAUCAACAGAUGGGUGAGCCGAUUGCAUCACUGGACUACUCAUCACUAGACAGAUUAACUGUCAUAUCAGUCAGAGAAGUAUUGACAGUGUGUGUUUGAGAAGCGCAACUCCGAGAGAACACAGAGAGAACACAUUACAAUUGGAGAUCAGCGCAAUGAGGUAUCAUAGAUAAAAUAAAAUGGAACAAGAGCACACUGAAAUUCCAUUGCCAGUGAUGAUGUGACAGUGCAGCGUGUCAACGUUUAAACGACUACAGCAGUGGCAUCGACGACACUGUGUGUGUGUGUGUGUGUGUGUGUGUGUGUGUGUGUGUGUGUGUGUGUGUGUGUGCGUGCGCGAGGGGGAGCGGACAAAGUACGACAUUCGUUUUACGCCGUUCCAACGAUUUCGAAAUAAAAAAUCUUGCAUUUUGAUGUAUGGAACAAUAGCAUGGAAAAUACUGAUCGCCAUGUAUUAUUUGUAUUCACAGAAAGUAUAUGUGACACGUGGAAUUAAUGCCAUGUGGGUUCGCAAAAACUCAGAAGUGUUGCCUGACUUUUUAUAAUCUCAGAAAAGAAAGACAGUUCUGUCAAAACAUUUGAUUUUUCAACUUUGUACACCGUUAUCCAGCAUGACAAACUUCAUUCCUUGAUCCAUGGGGCUUUUGUUACAAAACGUGGUGAACAUAGAUACAGUUACAAAUCUAUCUUCAGAGGUUCAGGCCAGUUUUUCAAAAAAUAUUCAUUAGGAUUCUGAGUGACAAAACACUCUCCACAAAACUGUAUGUCAAGAGGCAUGAUUUCAACUUUCCAGUAGUCAAUUUUCCCUGUAUGUGGAGCAUAUGUCUGAAACUCCAACCUUUGGUGUGUACAUUCCAAAACUUUUGAGGUACAAUCCAGCAUGCUAUUUCUACCAAGGAUUCUAAAAGCGUCAUACGACUCUUGCUCGGAAGUUGUUUGAUCAAGGUUGCAAACACUCAAGGUUUCUGUAAAGUUUUCAAAAAGUGUUAUGGUAGACAUAUGGAGGACAUUUCCAAAUU